GCAGUAUCGUAUGUCACACUUUUGGCUUCGAUGUAUCCAGAGUCCACAGAGGCUACAGAUGUUCCUUGGGUCAGAUGUUGUGAUUAUUCUUGACAUGAAAAAAUGUGAGUUAUGUUUUCAUGUUACAAAGAAGCAAUUUUAUGCAGCACCCACCAUAGACAGCCAUGUGCAUAUUGGAGCCUUUACCUCUGGUGUUCCUGGAGAUCUCUGAAGAGAAAACACUUGGAUAACAGGUAGGACAUGGAACCAAAGAGUAUUUCCUGCCCCCUAAGUGUGACUGUGAACACUGAUUUACAGAGAUGGGUUUAUUCUGCCCCCCACAGCAGCUCAGGAGGUCACUGUCCUGAGGAUAACCUGACUUACUGUUGAAGAUUGAGACAAAGAAGAAAGGAAAUAGUAGUCAGAUCUGCGCUGUGUUUUGAUCUAAGCAAACACUAGAUUCAGUUUGAUUUUUUGCCUUCACAGAUGAUAUGGGAAUGGGAUCAUUUUUCUGGGAUUUUGGGGUUCUGCCUGCCUCUGUUGGGACAGGAACUCCAGCUGUCUGCCUGCUGCUCAGAAAGCCCAGACGGACCAGCAGUACACAGGCACAGCUCCUGUGGAGUGG
This is a long non-coding RNA of Passer domesticus (house sparrow), 604 nucleotides long. RefSeq lists it as uncharacterized. NCBI's taxonomy places the organism in Eukaryota, Metazoa, Chordata, Aves, Passeriformes, Passeridae. The record is from RefSeq and is a predicted model, not a curated record. The transcript is spliced from 6 exons.